UAACGCGAAGAACCUUACCUGGGCUUGAUAUCCUAAGAACCUUAUAGAGAUAUGAGGGUGCUAGCUUGCUAGAACUUAGAGACAGGUGCUGCACGGCUGUCGUCAGCUCGUGUCGUGAGAUGUUGGGUUAAGUCCCGCAACGAGCGCAACCCACGUAUUUAGUUGCUAACACUUCGGGUGAGCACUCUAAAUAGACUGCCUUCGUAAGGAGGAGGAAGGUGUGAACGACGUCAAGCCAUCAUGGCCCUUAUGCCCAGGGCGACACACGUGCUACAAUGGCAUAUACAAUGAGACGCAAUACCGCGAGGUGGAGCAAAUCUAUAAAAUAUGUCCCAGUUCGGAUUGUUCUCUGCAACUCGAGAGCAUGAAGCCGGAAUCGCUAGUAAUCGUAGAUCAGCAUGCCGCGGUGAAUA
This 413-nucleotide ribosomal RNA is filed under the name uncultured bacterium. RNAcentral describes it as "bacterial SSU rRNA". It matches the Rfam family "Bacterial small subunit ribosomal RNA", at positions 957 to 1368 of the family's 1533-position model. The record is from RNAcentral.